RNAcentral lists this ribosomal RNA (255 nucleotides) under uncultured bacterium. RNAcentral describes it as "partial 16S ribosomal RNA". It matches the Rfam family "Bacterial small subunit ribosomal RNA", at positions 524 to 777 of the family's 1533-position model. The record is from RNAcentral.
UACGGGGGGGGCAAGCGUUGUUCGGAAUUACUGGGCGUAAAGGGCUCGUAGGCGGCCAACUAAGUCGGAUGUGAAAUCCCCAGGCUUAACCUGGGAACUGCAUCCGAUACUGGAUGGCUUGAAUUCGGGAGAGGGAUGCAGAAUUCCAGGUGUAGCGGUGAAAAUGCGUAGAUAUCUGGAGGAAUACCGGUGGCGAAGGCGGCAUCCUGGACCGACAUUGACGCUGAGGAGCGAAAGCUAGGGGAGCAAACGGGG